This 2153-nucleotide unclassified non-coding RNA is filed under the name Hevea brasiliensis (rubber tree). Lineage: Eukaryota; Viridiplantae; Streptophyta; Magnoliopsida; Malpighiales; Euphorbiaceae. The record is from RNAcentral.
GAUAAAUAUAAAUUGAAAAAGGGAAAAAGAAAAAAGAACAAGAAACGGCUUUAAAAGUAUGCUUUACAGCCAAGAACAUACUCGACCACACUUUCUAGUUCCAAUUCGAAAGGCUAAAGGUAGAAAUUUACGACCACAGAGAAACUUCAGGGACAUGUAUUUACCAUAAAUGAUUUAUUGUUUGUUUUCCUUUAUUUACCAAGUCAUCAGGUCUUAGGCGGUCAUAUGUACUAUUGUAUUGUAGUUGGAUUAAUUGCAACUUUAAAGUCGGUAACUGCUGGAAAAAGAAACUACAAGAGAUAAAGCGCAUCUCAAAAACAGUGGAUCAAUCUAUGAAACUCUCUCAGAAUACUUAUUUACCAUCACUAUUGCCACCAUACUGAGUUGAAUUUCCAUUCCAGAAAGGAUUUCUAUCACCGAACUGGCUAUCAUCUUCAUCAUGUUUCAAUGUGUGAAUGUUGCUUCCAAAAUGGGAUGUUGUCGGUUGCCUGCUUCUGUUAUCAUUUCUACCAGUUGAAGAAGUGCUUUGAUUAGGCGAGUAGCUGGAGUAGGGCCUCUCUGAUCUUGUUAGGUUGUUCUGCAGUGCUGGAUUUGGACUAUACUCCCACACGCCAGUUUGAGGUUGUCCAGAACUUGAUGGACUUGUACUACCACCAAGAUAGGAAAGUGGAUUGAUAUAUGAUAACAUCCUUUUUAAGUAAACAAAAUAUCCCCCAUUAUUCGUAAUUGAUGAAUCACUGUAAGUUGUUGCAGCAGUUUGGUCAGAAGAGGACCCUCCUCUGUGGUAAUUUGUGGCUCUCUGACGAGGGACUACUAUCAAUGCUUGUCUAUCAAACAGACCCAACUCUGACAGUGAUUUGCUUAAAUCUUGAUUGCUGAACACCUUGCGAGGAUAAGGAAUAGCAAGAUCAUAUGAACCAAUUUCACUUGCUUGGUUUCUGUCCACGUAGUCUUUGAUCAUUCCUAAAGUGCUUUUCACAGAAAAUUUGUCUUGUAAGCUUAUACCACUGGGCAACCGGAUAUUUAAAUGAACCUCACUCAAUGCAUUGACACUCUUAUUAUUAUCUAAUGUAUUAGUCUUCCUAUCAUCAACACAUUCACCACUUCUUUGUGUAGCUUCAAUUGUUUCAGUAGUGACUAAUUGAGAAUCUCCACCAGGAACAACUGAAUACUGAUUAAUAAUCUUUUCUUGGUCAGUAUGCUCAUCUUCAUUGCUAGAAGACAAGCCAUCAGCUACAGGACUGUCCGGGUCUAGCCUCAGAGGAGUAGAUAAUCCCUUGGUUUCUGCACUAAGAGAAGUUGAUUGCUCAGCCCCAACACCCAGUGACUUGUCAGCAUUAGUUGAUUUUGAAGAUGCUUUGUCCUCAUAUUUAGUACUUUUUCCCUCAACAAUAUGUUCAUGACUGUUGAUUUCUUCUAUUGUCUCAGAAGUAGCCGACGGUCCACCAUCUGAGGAUUGUUCAUGUUUGUCCACUAAAGGUGGUGGAACAACUGUACCUGAAGAACUCCCUUGCUCAGAUGAGCUAAUAUCAGAAAAUCCAGCAGAUGGUUCUGGUUUCUUUGAAGUAAGAGCUGCUGUCAGAACAGUUGCAGUUGUUUCCUGGAUAUGAAGAUUCAACCAUGCCUUCUCUAAACUGGAAGCCAAAGCUUCAGCACAAACAAUUACUUCUGAAGGAUCACAAAAAUAAAAUAAUAUAAUUAAAUUUCUGGGACAUUAUCAUGUACCAAAUCCUAUGUUCACAAAAAAUAAUAGGUUAUAAUAUAAAUAUAAAACCACUUUGCCAGAGUUGAAUUCCAUUGUACCCAAUAGCUGUUAUAAAAGGGACAGAUUUUUGUGGAUCUGUAACAAGUUGAUGAAAGGAUACCUUCUCGCUUUCAAAAGAUUGAAAAAACUAUGGUCUAGACCAGUAAAAUAGAAGAAUGACAGCACAAGUGCAAAUUGACGUGCCUAACAAAUGCAUUCAUGAAGUGCCAUGCCAAACCUACUUGUGAAAAAGAAAUAUGACAUGCAAAGAAGCCAUUACCUCUAGAGCUAUAAACGAACCAAGCUGCUCAAGGCUGGCUUGGUUCGGUUGUUUAGAAAACGAGCCGAGUUCGAACUCGAUUUUUAAGCUUGUUUGAUAAACGAACCGAGCUUGAGCUUCACAGUAUUC